Molecule: long non-coding RNA, 149 nt
Organism: Xiphophorus hellerii (green swordtail)
Lineage: Eukaryota; Metazoa; Chordata; Actinopteri; Cyprinodontiformes; Poeciliidae
Exons: 3
Source: RefSeq, a predicted model, not a curated record
GUUGUGUUUCAGUUCACUUUCUUUCUCCACUGUAGCUCCAUGAAUAUUAAUCCUUAAUAUUCUCAGAUAGCUGAGUUAAACCUUAGCUAAACGUUAGCUGUUUAGCUCAGAGAGGACUCUCUGUUUUGUUUUGUUGUACAAUGUACACU